AUACUUGAGACUGGUUCCUAACAACAAAUUAGACCUCGUCUUUGGAGGGGUGCAGCCGGCGGAGGGGGACUGACUGGCUUCCACACAUGCCUCCUUGAGCCCUCAGACACUCAUGGGUCCACUGGCCAGAGAUGGAGAAAUUGUAACUCAGAUACUCCAAUUCGACUCAAUUCAACAAACACUGAGCACCUAUGAUGUGCAAGAAGUUGGCAGUCUGCAACCCGGAAGAGGACUCUCACCAGAACCCGACGAUGCCGGCACGGUGAUCUUGGACUUCCAGCCUCCAGAACCGACCACAAGAUCUGGUUACAUUCUGGGAGAAAGGAUAUUUCCAUCUAUAUUUAGAGGGUGGGAAAAAAUACCUACUGACAGAGAAAAAUCAUCAAUGAAAUAUUUCAAGAAAAUUUCCCAGAGCUGAAGGAAAAGUUUCCACAUCAAAAGGGACCACUCCAGCACAGUGCAUGGAAAGAGACCCACAGCAAGGACCAAGACAGCCGUCGUUCCCCUGCUGGGCUGGCCAACAGGCUUCCUCCAAGACGGCUCACUCAAUGGCCAAUCCCAGCACCACCCCUCACAGCUCUGUCCCUCUGCCUCUAGACUCUCACUGUUCUUAGAAGGCAGGUCGGGACAGGAGGAGUCAGAUUUCCUAGAAAAGAUGAAGGGACAAUUCACUGAGAUAUUAAUACGUGUUCUCUCGCUGUUUCUCCUCCCCAUUACAAGCAGGUAGCCAGACCUGGCUAUGUUCUUGCCUGAGGGAAUUUUGCAAAGCAGGUCUUGAGGAGUCUCCGGGAAGAGCUGGUUGAUGUCCUGCAGGGGGCACCUCUGAGAGUAGCACUGAAAAGAGAUUUUAUCCCCUAGCCUGUGGGAGCUCACAGUGAGGCCUGUGAAGAGGCCCGUCCCUGGGUGCGCCUGGGCCUCCUGGACCCUAGAACCUGGGGCUUCCAGUCUUGCUAGAUAUUCCUGCACUGGAGAUAUUGUACAGAAAGCACAGAACCACCUGACGUGAAGGGUCCAUGUCAGACUAAGUCAUUGGGAGUCCAAGUGGUAUUUGGGGGCGGCCAAUGACUGAUGACAGGAGGAAACUCCGAAAGUUUCCACACAGUUCUAGUAGGGGUGUGAGAGCACUAGGGUAGAUUAAAGUUGAUUUAGAAGAAUUAAAGGUAUAUGAAUUAAUGGAGCCAUUCGAACCAGGUGCAUGUCAGGGCCUCCCUGGAGCUGACCACACGGGGUUUGGGCUCUGUGUUGGGAAGACUUUUGCUCCUGGGUGGCCAUUCCCAAGAGGAUGGCCAGGCCAGACCAGACACUGGUGCCCAAGAGGUGCCAAGACCACUGGCAAGAAGAAGGAAUUUCCACGAAUGGUUUAAACUAGUUGAGAUUCAUCUCUCUAGGCUGGGAAGGGGACCUUGAGUUUGUGGCCAUCAGGUCUGGACCAAGACAGAAAGGUGGACAGAGAAGGCUGUUGGGUAGGAAGCGGCCAUGUCUGCUCACACCUACGCUCUACCUUGAGAAUUUCUGAAGUCUGUUGGAUGUUGCCAUUUAAUCUGAAAGGAAAGAAGGUGGAAAAGAAGACCAACCUGUUCUUUCUGAUAAUAAAAGUAACACUGGGAGGAGCAGCAGCAUGGCUGUCCCUGAGCUGGGGGCAGACGUGUGUGGGUCUGUCUGGGUCACUGGUGGGGAAGAAAUCUGUCUGCCUGGGGGUCAAAGGAACCCCCGGGGAAGCAUCCACAUCAGAGGCAGAGCGUACCCUCAAGGAGAGAUCCCAACAUGGUGAGUCUGAAGCAGUAUGAAGCCUCGGCCCUCAGCGAGGAGGACCGACUGGAGAUCAGCGAGUGCUGUCCCACAGACUGUCCCCUUGCCCGGCACCCCUAUGUCCUCAACAGCUCCGUGAAGCCCAGAGUUAGGCUAAAAUAGAAUGCUGGGCUGUGGCAAAGCCCUGACUGAUUGCAGCUCCGGCUUUGAAACCAUGAGGCAACGUGUAGCGAUUUUCCUGGAAUGAUGUGGCUUUGAGGAUCCCAGAGGCUAUGGUGCCGCUGUGGGACCCUUUGCAGAGCCCUGAUCACCAGCACAGUGGGGUCCCGAAGUGACGACAGUGCUGCCCAGCAGGCAGGCUGCCCAGCAAAGGCGGCUGAGACCCCAGGGACUGACAGCACAGCCCGAGGGUAAAGGCGACAGCACCAGGUCUCUUCGCCUGGACUUGCUCCCUGGUGAAUCCCAGCCUGGCUCCCGCGGGCACACACAGGGCUGUGUGGGAAUUAGACACAGGCGCCCGGCUGGGCAGACAAAUCACGAAAAGGCGGCCCUCCUCUGCUCUGAAGCGGGGCUUGACAGACGGGGCUCAGGCUGAAUUUCGGCCUCACCUCGCGGCCAGGCACUUCUGGACAAUGACUCUGGACAUCCACGAAACACCAGUGGAGUGGCAGAUGUGCAGAGAAGGGGAUGGGAGCUGUCAUGAAAGUGUGUGUGUCGGGGUGGGGGUGGUAAAAUACUCUGAUUAGAACAAAAUGUUUUUAAAACCCAGAAGAGUAUAAAGAAGAAAGUUGAAAUCACCCCAGUCUCAAUCUUUGAUGUUCAAGCCUCAGAAAAUUUGAUGCAGAGAGAAAUCAGAUCCAGAGGAUCCUUUAAAGCCCUUCCUUUGAUGUUGCUGUUGAGUCUUGCGCCAAACCAGGGCCUUUGUGGGAUGCCGGACCCAGCCGCUCCCUCAGCAGCCUGGGCUGGGGGCCCUGCUGACAUACAAGUUAUGCCGAACAAAGUUAUUGCUUCCUCUGCAGCCGAGACUUGGGAAUUCCAUUUCUCUUCGUAAGACCCAGUGUGUUGGAUUCCUGGGGCUCACAGCCCCUGGGAACCCCCCAACCUCUGGAAAACCAUUGAUUCAUUCUCUUUCAAGAAUAUUUCCUGAGCACCUCCUCUGCCCCAUUUUUACCCUCAGGAAAAAAAAUCACAGUGUGUAGAAAGGAACGGUUGGGUCCCUCCCCCUCUGCCUGCGUGGCCAGCUGUUGAUUCCUUGCAGCUGUUCCUCCUGCUCAGAGCCUGGCCUCCCUUGGGCGGCGCCCCCACGAGACAAUCACACUGCAUGCCAGAGAUCCGUUUUAUGUUGUUUCUCUCCAGCGGUCAGUCCCAGUACUCGUCCCAUAAUACUCCUGUGCUGUGUUCUGCCUUUUGCAACAUCCUUUAUACUGGCUCAGGACUAGAUUCUGCCAUUACCCUAAAGGUCCCAGCAGAUGACAGAAAGUGAUUGCAGUAGACGGAAGGAAAAUGUCAGACAAAGCUCCAAGGAGGAGGUGGGUUGGAAGGACUAUGAGGUUUUCAAAACGUGAAAAUGGCAGAGGAAGGCUAUUUUAGGCACAGAUGGCAGCGUGGGCAGAGCAUCCUGGGGAUAUGCCAAUGUAACCCAGCACACUGUUUCAGCACAUGCAAACCUCACAUGAAGGCUGACAUCACACACCUGCACGCUCACACCUGUACACAGGCUUCUAACUAAGGCUGAACCCUAAGAGCUUUAAUGCCGCCAUAGUGGGGAAGGGUGGCGAGUAGCUUCUGAUGCCAGAGGUGGAAGCUUCAAUUAGCCUUGAGGGCAGAUCCUUCCUUCCCCUCCUCCCUUUCCUUCCUAUCUUCCUUCUUUCCUGCCUCCUGCCUUCUUUUCUUCAUCACCAAAAAGGGCCCUCGGGUCCCACAAAUAUAAUGUGACCAUUGUUCUUGGGGAAAACUGUUAAGUGAUUAACUCGUAAAGGACUGUGUGUGCAUGCGGCUGAGCUAUGUUAUCAAAGCUGCUGGCAGUGUGCUGGUGGUGGUGCUGGGGAGCAGGAGGGCGGGACGGGCAAAGCUUCUGCAAGUGUGCAGGUUGGAUGACAGCACUGUACCUCCGCUGUCGCUCGUUCCUAAGGAAAUAGAUGAUGGCUGAAAUAGAAAAUAGGGGACAGAUUGCGCCAGAUUGUUUUAAAAGCUGUUUCUUCAGAAAUAUGAAAAUUCGGAAUACAUAGACACCGCAAACACGCUAACAGAUAACUGCAUAACGUUGUUUCGAAGUCAAAGAACUGUUUCUAAAAAAUAAUAUCAUAGAAGCUGCACUAUCAACGAGCAUAAAUGAACAGUUGAUGUGUGUGCAGAUAUAUUGUCAAUAACCUCUAG
Molecule: long non-coding RNA, 4125 nt
Organism: Equus caballus (horse)
Lineage: Eukaryota; Metazoa; Chordata; Mammalia; Perissodactyla; Equidae
Source: Ensembl